This 446-nucleotide unclassified non-coding RNA is filed under the name uncultured Bordetella sp. RNAcentral describes it as "partial 16S-23S ribosomal RNA intergenic spacer". It matches the Rfam family "Bacterial small subunit ribosomal RNA", at positions 340 to 794 of the family's 1533-position model. Lineage: Bacteria; Pseudomonadati; Pseudomonadota; Betaproteobacteria; Burkholderiales; Alcaligenaceae. The record is from RNAcentral.
UACGGGGCGCAGCAGUGGGAAUUUUGGACAAUGGGGGAAACCCUGAUUCCAGCCAUCCCGCGUGUGCGAUGAAGGCCUUCGGGUUGUAAAGCACUUUUGGCAGGAAAGAAAACGGCACGGGAUAAUACCCUGCGCAACUGACGGUACCUGGGCAGAAUAAGCACCGGCUAACUACGUGCCAGCAGCCGCGGUAAUACGUAGGGUGCAAGCGUUAAUCGGAAUUACUGGGCGUAAAGCGCAGGCGGUUCGGAAAGAAAGAUGUGAAAUCCCAGAGCUUAACUUUGGAACUGCAUUUUUAACUACCGAGCUAGAGUGUGUCAGAGGGAGGUGGACUCGCGUGUAGCAGUGAAAUGCAGAGGGAGGAACACCGAUUAUGAAGGCAGCCUCCUGGGAUAACACUGACGCUCAUGCACGCUGGGAGCAACAGAUUAGGAUACCUCUGUAGU